CGUGUGCACUUCCGAUCUUUCAGACAUUUGGUGUAUGUGCUUGGCUGAGGAGCCAAUGGUGCAAAGCUACCAUCUGUGGGAUUAUGACUGAACACCUCUACGUCAGAAUCCUGCCUAGACGAAGCGAUACCGAAGCGCCGUGGAUUUUCG
Thalassophryne amazonica is the source of this 150-nucleotide long non-coding RNA. RefSeq lists it as uncharacterized. The record is from RefSeq and is a predicted model, not a curated record. NCBI's taxonomy places the organism in Eukaryota, Metazoa, Chordata, Actinopteri, Batrachoidiformes, Batrachoididae. The transcript is spliced from 4 exons.